AUGGCUGUCUUGGAUAGGGGGGCCUCGAGGAAGGCCCUCACCUCCUUGUGCAAGCUUGUUUCCUGGGAGUUUUGGAAUGAGCAUAACGCAAGAAUUUUUAGGAAUACCGUCGCCACUGCGACCAUUGUUACCGCGGGGAUCAAAGAGGAGGCCCUUUUUUGGGCGCUUGUGGGGUGCUCAUCAUUUGUGUAA
RNAcentral lists this ribosomal RNA (192 nucleotides) under Triticum aestivum (bread wheat). RNAcentral describes it as "partial small subunit ribosomal RNA". The record is from RNAcentral. Lineage: Eukaryota; Viridiplantae; Streptophyta; Magnoliopsida; Poales; Poaceae.